AGAGUUUGAUCAUGGCUCAGAUUGAACGCUGGCGGCAUGCCUAACACAUGCAAGUCGAACGGAUCCGGACUUCGGUCCGUGAGAGUGGCGGACGGGUGAGUAACACGUGGGAACCUGCCUUUUGGUUCGGGAUAACCGCGGGAAACUGCGGCUAAUACCGGAUGCUCCCGAGAGGGAAAAGAUUUAUCGCCAGAAGAGGGGCCCGCGUCCGAUUAGGUAGUUGGUGGGGUAAUGGCCUACCAAGCCGACGAUCGGUAGCUGGUCUGAGAGGAUGAUCAGCCACACUGGGACUGAGAUACGGCCCAGACUCCUACGGGAGGCAGCAGUGGGAAUAUUGGACAAUGGGGCAACCCUGAUCCAGCAAUGCCGCGUGAGUGAUGAAGGCCUUAGGGUUGUAAAGCUCUUUUGCCAGGGAAGAUGAUGACUGUACCUGGAGAAUAAGCCCCGGCUAACUUCGUG
This 459-nucleotide ribosomal RNA is filed under the name uncultured bacterium. RNAcentral's name for it is "bacterial SSU rRNA". It matches the Rfam family "Bacterial small subunit ribosomal RNA", at positions 8 to 507 of the family's 1533-position model. The record is from RNAcentral.